AAAAGACAACAGAGAGCAAGGAAAUAACAGAUAAAAGACAACAGAGAUCGAAGGAAAUAACAGAUAAAAGACAACAGAGAGCGAAGGAAAUAGCAGAUAAAA
Molecule: long non-coding RNA, 102 nt
Organism: Solea senegalensis (Senegalese sole)
Lineage: Eukaryota; Metazoa; Chordata; Actinopteri; Pleuronectiformes; Soleidae
Exons: 2
Source: RefSeq, a predicted model, not a curated record